UGCCUCGUCGCCAAGUGGUAAGGCAUCAGACUUUGACUCUGACAUGCGCAAGUUCGAAUCUUGCCGAGGCAACCA
RNAcentral lists this transfer RNA (75 nucleotides) under Clostridium sp. CAG:594. Its description in RNAcentral is "transfer RNA-Gln(TTG)". It matches the Rfam family "tRNA". From Rfam's summary of the family: Transfer RNA (tRNA) molecules are approximately 80 nucleotides in length. Their secondary structure includes four short double-helical elements and three loops (D, anti-codon, and T loops). The record is from RNAcentral. Lineage: Bacteria; Bacillati; Bacillota; Clostridia; Eubacteriales; Clostridiaceae. RNAcentral also lists the same sequence under 5 other names.